UCAAUUUUCAAAAUUUCAACUUACUUCUGAUCUUAUAUAACUGCAACUGUUAGAGCACAAUACUCUCAGAGGAAUUGAAGGUAAUGAAGAUAUUUCUAGAAAUAAUCAUUAAAAUAGUUUAUGCCACAAGAAAAUAUUUCCUCCAUAGAGAAAAUGCAACUUAA
RNAcentral lists this long non-coding RNA (164 nucleotides) under Monodelphis domestica (gray short-tailed opossum). RNAcentral describes it as "lncRNA (ENSMODG00000044202.1)". Lineage: Eukaryota; Metazoa; Chordata; Mammalia; Didelphimorphia; Didelphidae. The record is from RNAcentral.